CCUACGGGUGGCUGCAGUGGGGAAUAUUGCACAAUGGGGGAAACCCUGAUGCAGCGACGCCGCGUGAGUGAAGAAGUAUUUCGGUAUGUAAAGCUCUAUCAGCAGGGAAGAACAUGACGGUACCUGACUAAGAAGCCCCGGCUAACUACGUGCCAGCAGCCGCGGUAAUACGUAGGGGGCAAGCGUUAUCCGGAUUUACUGGGUGUAAAGGGAGCGUAGACGGCAGCACAAGUCUGGAGUGAAAUGCCGGGGCUUAACCCCGGAACUGCAUUGGAAACUGUGCGGCUAGAGUGUAGGAGAGGUAAGUGGAAUUCCUAGUGUAGCGGUGAAAUGCGUAGAUAUUAGGAGGAACACCAGUGGCGAAGGCGGUCUGCUGGACAGCAACUGACGCUGAGGCGCGAAAGCGUGGGGAGCAAACAGGAUUAGAUACCCCGGUAGUC
Molecule: ribosomal RNA, 440 nt
Filed under: uncultured bacterium
Lineage: Bacteria
Description: partial 16S ribosomal RNA
Rfam family: Bacterial small subunit ribosomal RNA
Source: RNAcentral